RNAcentral lists this unclassified non-coding RNA (1274 nucleotides) under Hevea brasiliensis (rubber tree). Lineage: Eukaryota; Viridiplantae; Streptophyta; Magnoliopsida; Malpighiales; Euphorbiaceae. The record is from RNAcentral.
AUUUCUUCUUCAAUGGCGGAUCAAGAGGAAGAGGACUUGAGAAUGGCUUUAAGGAUGAGUAUGCAAAACUCACCUCCAGAACCUAAGCGAAGCAAGCCUAGGGACCUCGCCGGUGCCCCGGUGGCUUCGCCAGAGGAAUCCCGGCGGCAACAGCGAGAGCUUAGGGCGGCGGCAGCUGAGAAGCGGGUGGGUNUGAGGCGAAAAUCGCCUCGCCUUCGAAAGCCACCGAUAGAAGCCCAGGUAAGAGCAAGGAUGUUGGUAAAAAAAAAGGAGGAUUUUGGCGCGAAGGAGGGUAAUAGGGGGAAAGAACCAUCCGGCGAGGAGGCGAAUCAGUUGUUCUCAAUGGUGUUUGGGAGUGUUGUUUCGAAGGACAUUCUAGCACAAUGGAGUAAUCAGGGCUAAAGGUUUAGCCCUGAUCCAGAAACAUCUAUGGGCCUAGUGCAGCAUGAAGGUGGUCCCUGCGGCGUCUUGGCAACCAUACAAGCAUUUGUUCUCAAAUACCUUCUUUUCUUUCCAGAUGAAUUGGGUAAAUUUGCACCAAACAUGCCACAGAAUUUGGGUUCCGGAAGACUGACUAAAAGUCGAUAUGUUGCAUCGAAUAAUUUUACUUCUCCAACUGAAGAUACAAAAGCAAGAGCCCUGGUCAGAAGUAUGUGUGAGAUAUUGUUUCUAUGUGGAAGUAAUGAGAGGGCUGUGAUUGCUACUUUGAAAGCUAUUGGCUGUGACACUGAGGGAUCUGCAAAAGAUGAGACCAUUGCACAAGCGCUUGAGGAUCUUUCAAUUGAAUCAGCAUCUGAUUUGCAUAAAAUUCUAAGAAUUGAAACACACACAUCACAAGCAAGCGUGAUGCAGAGGCUCCAAGUGAUGAUUCCUGUCUUCCAAUCUCGUAUGGGGGCCCUGCUAUUCCUUAUCUCUGCACUACUGUCUAGAGGAUUGGAUACAGUUCAAGCUGACAGGGAUGAUCCAAGCCUUCCUUUGGUCACUGCACCUUUUGGACAUGCCUCUCAGGAAAUUGUGAAUCUACUGCUCUGUGGCCAGGCUGUUCCUAAUGUGUUUGAUGGUAGAAUGGACUUAGGUGGUGGCAUGUGUCUAAAGGGCAUAUCCACAAGUGUGGAAGUUGGAUUUCUUACUCUGUUGGAAUCCCUGAAUUUCUGUAAGGUUGGCCAACAUCUAAAAUGCCCUAAAUGGCCUAUAUGGGUUGUUGGAAGUGAGUCUCACUAUACUGUUCUAUUUGCUCUUGAUACCACUGUUCAAGAUGAGAAUGAGCUGGAAGA